GACGUAGGGCGCGAGCGUUGUCCGGAUUUAUUGGGCGUAAAGAGCUCGUAGGCGGCUUGUCGCGUCGACUGUGAAAACUCGGGGCUCAACUCCGAGCUUGCAGUCGAUACGGGCAGGCUAGAGUUCGGUAGGGGAGACUGGAAUUCCUGGUGUAGCGGUGAAAUGCGCAGAUAUCAGGAGGAACACCGGUGGCGAAGGCGGGUCUCUGGGCCGAUACUGACGCUGAGGAGCGAAAGCGUGGGGAGCGGACAGG
Molecule: ribosomal RNA, 253 nt
Filed under: uncultured bacterium
Lineage: Bacteria
Description: partial 16S ribosomal RNA
Rfam family: Bacterial small subunit ribosomal RNA
Source: RNAcentral